AUUGAACGCUGGCGGCAGGCCUAACACAUGCAAGUCGAACGAGUGGCGGACGGGUGUGUAAUGUCUGGGAAACUGCCCGUUGGAGGGGGCUAACUACUGUAAACGGUAGCUAAUACCGCAUCCCAUCGGAUAUGCCCAGAUGGGAUUAGCUAGUGGGUGGGGUAACGGCUCACCUAGGCGACGAUACCUCGCUGGACUGAGAGGAUGACCAGCCACACUGGAACUGAGACACGGUCCAGACUCCUACGGGAGGCAGCAGUGGGGAAUAUGGCACAAUGGGCGCAAGCCUGAUGCAGCCAGGCCGCGUGUAUGAAGAAGGCCUUCGGGUUGUAAAGUACUUUCAGCGAGGAGGCGUUACUCGCAGAAGAAGCACCGGCUAACUCCGUGCCAGCAGCCGCGGUAAUAC
This 406-nucleotide ribosomal RNA is filed under the name uncultured bacterium. RNAcentral describes it as "partial 16S ribosomal RNA". It matches the Rfam family "Bacterial small subunit ribosomal RNA", at positions 30 to 526 of the family's 1533-position model. The record is from RNAcentral.